AUACGGAGGAUCCGAGCGUUAUCCGGAUUUAUUGGGUUUCAAGGGUGCGCAGGCGGCCAUUUAAGUCAGCGGUUAAAUCGUGGGGCUCAACCCCAUUCUGCCGUUGAUACUGGGUGGCUUGAUUGCGGUCGAGGUUGGCGGAAUUCGUUGUGUAGCGGUGAAAUGCAUAGAUAUGACGAAGAACACCGAUUGCGUAGGCAGCUGACCAGACCGCAAAUGACGCUCAUGCACGAAAGUGCGGGGAUCGAACAGGAUUAGAUACCCUGGUAGUCCGCACAGUAAACGAUGAAUACUUGUUUUCGGCGAUAUAAUGUCGGAGGUAAAGCGAAAGCGAUAAGUAUUCCACCUGGGGAGUACGCCGGCAACGGUGAAACUCAAAGGAAUCGACGGGG
This 392-nucleotide ribosomal RNA is filed under the name uncultured bacterium. RNAcentral describes it as "partial 16S ribosomal RNA". It matches the Rfam family "Bacterial small subunit ribosomal RNA", at positions 523 to 918 of the family's 1533-position model. The record is from RNAcentral.